GUGUGUGUGUGUGUGUGUGUGUGUGUGUGUGUGUGUGUGUGUGUGUGUGUGUGUGUGUGUGUGUGUGUGUGUGUGUGUGUGUGUGUGUGUGUGUGUGUGUGUGUGUGUGUGUACACUGCAUUCAAAAGCUCCUUUCACUUUCCGUAGGAUUUAGCAAAACGUGUUCCCUCACCAAAACGCAACCUGUGCUUUUGACGCUUUUUAAUUCGUUGUACACACAGAUGCUUUCAGUGUUACAGUUUCAGAGCCAAGCUUUACCCACAAUGCUCCACUCUUCUGUGACCGACGUGAACCCACAUCACAUGCAAAUGCCACCAUUUCAAGAUGAAAUAGAAGUCAAACAUACAGGAUCCAUUCCGUUCAUCUCAUUUCAACAUGUUGCCUUACUUGAAUUGUUGUUAAUAAUUUCAGAUCAUUGUACAGAGCUGCUUGUGUCACGCUUUAAACAUAUAUACACAUACACAUACACACACACAGGCCGAGACACACUCCAACAACCACUCAGACCCCGCUGCAGUGUUUUCCUUCCUGAUAGUGCUGCUAGAGCACUCCGGUCAUAGCUGUAUCCUGAUUUUUCCUCUCCAGAUUGCACGUGCAGAGUUAAAGAACAUCAGAUUACGAACUACAGUAAGUAUGAUGCUGAAGCUUUGAUUAUAUUAUCCUGUUUUGCUUUAUUUAUUUUUUCCCUAUCAUUCCGUGUUUACCCUGGCUUGAGCGUCUUAUCCCAUGAAGGUGAAUGAUUUCGCUGAAACUGUGAAAGAAAGUGAAACCUUUGGGUCCAACCGUGCUUCCUGGGGAUGAUCAGAGCAGCCUUUGCUUACAUUUGACUUUUGAAAUAGCUGCAUCCCACCUCUAACGUAAUGCUCUUUUUUUCUGUCCAUAUAUUAUGAUGCUCAUUGAUAUACAUAUGCUAAUACAGCUCAGACAAACCCCUUGUGCUUGCUAUGAUCUGUACACAGGAGAGCGCUGGCUGUGUUUUACUUGAACUUGAAGAGUGUUUCUGAAUGAGAGCACGUUGUGAAGCUCUGAGUGAUGGGAGAGGAUUAAAACCAUGAGCCAAGUGAAAUAAAGGUCAUGAAUGAGGGUAGUUUGCUUUGACUUUGUUUGUGUAUACACCCUGACUCUUAAAACUGGCAUUCCUGUAUCUGAUGUGGCGACCAGGCCUCUGACAUUAGUCCUCUUCCUUGGAAUUGAAUAAAUUAUUUUGUUAUUAUUUGUAUUAUGUUGCCUUUAAUGCUCCAGGAGGUGUUGCUUCAAGCUGUGGCAUGUAGCCUUGUUUGCUUACUUGCCAUCCUGCCCUCCCCAUUUGCUGCUGUUUGUAAAAUGCCCCCUUGUGUUUUCAGAAAGAGUUUGGAGCGCGGCUGACAUUACUCCUUCAUGUGUCAGAAGUUGCAGAAAAUGUGAAGCUAGACCUCUAAGCAACACAAAUCUGGCAGGAUAUCAAGCACAUGAUGUACAAUUGUCUGUGUAUGUGUGUAUAUUAUUCAAAUUGAAACCAUUGUUAUUAUUAUUACUGCGAGGAGUUUGUUUUACAGCCAAAGCAUGUAACAUGUUGCUUUAAGCCUUCUGAAAGGACUACACAAGACUUGACUGUACGAUGUCUACAUUUCCACAGUGGCCUGUUAUUGAAAUAUUAAAAAAAGAACUAAUAAAGUUAUGAUUUGUAGCCUGAUUCCCUCUGUACAGAUGUCAUGACUAUAUUGAAAUAUAUAUAUAUAUUUAACACAAACGUGAGUUCUAACAGUCACGUGGAUGCUUGGGGCAUACGUGUACAAAAUGCUGAGCGUGUAUUGUACUUAUGAUUUCAUUUUUUAAUGGUUUACUUUUGUUGCGUUAAGACAACUGAUGUAUUAAACUUUGCAAGCAGAACCGUA
Long non-coding RNA from Gymnodraco acuticeps, 1874 nucleotides. RefSeq lists it as uncharacterized. NCBI's taxonomy places the organism in Eukaryota, Metazoa, Chordata, Actinopteri, Perciformes, Bathydraconidae. The record is from RefSeq and is a predicted model, not a curated record. The transcript has 2 exons.